This 192-nucleotide ribosomal RNA is filed under the name uncultured bacterium. Its description in RNAcentral is "partial 16S ribosomal RNA". It matches the Rfam family "Bacterial small subunit ribosomal RNA", at positions 335 to 524 of the family's 1533-position model. The record is from RNAcentral.
ACUCCUACGGGAGGCAGCAGUGAGGAAUAUUGGUCUAUGGGCGCAAGCCUGAACCAGCCAUGCCGCGUGCAGGAUGACGGUCCUAUGGAUUGUAAACUGCUUUUGUACAGGAAGAAACAGUUCUACGUGUAGAACCUUGACGGUACUGUAAGAAUAAGGAUCGGCUAACUCCGUGCCAGCAGCCGCGGUAAU